RNAcentral lists this transfer RNA (71 nucleotides) under Muribaculaceae bacterium. Its description in RNAcentral is "tRNA-Gln". It matches the Rfam family "tRNA". Rfam says of the family: Transfer RNA (tRNA) molecules are approximately 80 nucleotides in length. Lineage: Bacteria; Pseudomonadati; Bacteroidota; Bacteroidia; Bacteroidales; Muribaculaceae. The record is from RNAcentral.
UGUCCUGUGGUGUAACGGUAGCACACCGGAUUCUGGUUCCGUUUGUGAGGGUUCGAAUCCCUCCAGGACAA